UCCUGCCCAGUGACAUAGUUCAACGGCCGCGGUAUCCUAACCGUGCAAAGGUAGCAUAAUCACUUGCCCAUUAAUUGUGGGCUAGAAUGAACGGAUCAACGAAAUAGAGCCUGUCUCCAUAAAUCCCAUAAAAAUUAAUCUCUAACUGAAGAGUGUUAGAUUACAUCGAAGGACAAGAAGACCCUAUAGAGCUUUAUCCCUAAUAAGAUUAACUCUUAAUAAAAGAUUCGGUUGGGGCGACCAAGGAUAUAAAGAUCAUCCUCCAUUAAAAGAUAUAUUUAUCUAAAAUAGACCCUUAAUAAAGAUCAAAAAAACAAGCUACCUUAGGGAUAACAGGCUAAUCCUGCUAAAGAGUCCUUAUCAACAGCAGGGGUUGGCACCUCGAUGUUGGCUUAGGGAAACUAUGUGGCGCAAAAGUCACAUAAAGAUGGUUUGUUCAACCAAUAAAUCCCUACAUGAGCUGAGUUCAGACCGGCGCAAGCCAGGUUAGUUUCUAUCCUCGACAAUAUAUCUAUCUAUAGUACGAAAGGACCUAGAUAAGAAUAAAUAUUAUAUACAAAGAAAAAAUAUAACAAUUCGUGAUAACUAAUAAACAUAUAUUAUGUAGUGCGUUGGCAGAAUAGUGCAAUCGACUUAGGAUCGAUAUAUGGGAUUUUUUUUCCCACUCACUAAUGCAACUUAGUUUAUUUAGAAUAAUCAACUUGCACUUGAUAGGAGAGGUUUCUCAGUAGCGGCUUGAUGUUUUGGAAACACUAGACCUUGAACGUCUACUAAAGAUGUUCAACUCAUC
This 790-nucleotide ribosomal RNA is filed under the name Hormogaster redii. Its description in RNAcentral is "partial 16S ribosomal RNA". The stretch from base 1 to 519 matches the Rfam family "Bacterial large subunit ribosomal RNA", at positions 1857 to 2925 of the family's 2925-position model. Lineage: Eukaryota; Metazoa; Annelida; Clitellata; Crassiclitellata; Hormogastridae. The record is from RNAcentral.